This 497-nucleotide ribosomal RNA is filed under the name uncultured bacterium. RNAcentral's name for it is "partial 16S ribosomal RNA". It matches the Rfam family "Bacterial small subunit ribosomal RNA", at positions 28 to 507 of the family's 1533-position model. The record is from RNAcentral.
GAUGAACGCUGGCGGCGUGCCUAAUACAUGCAAGUCGAGCGAACGGACGAGAAGCUUGCUUCUCUGAUGUUAGCGGCGGACGGGUGAGUAACACGUGGAUAACCUACCUAUAAGACUGGGAUAACUUCGGGAAACCGGAGCUAAUACCGGAUAAUAUUUUGAACCGCAUGGUUCAAAAGUAAAAGACGGUCUUGCUGUCACUUAUAGAUGGAUCCGCGCUGCAUUAGCUAGUUGGUAAGGUAACGGCUUACCAAGGCAACGAUGCAUAGCCGACCUGAGAGGGUGAUCGGCCACACUGGAACUGAGACACGGUCCAGACUCCUACGGGAGGCAGCAGUAGGGAAUCUUCCGCAAUGGGCGAAAGCCUGACGGAGCAACGCCGCGUGAGUGAUGAAGGUCUUCGGAUCGUAAGACUCUGUUAUUAGGGAAGAACAUAUGUGUAAGUAACUGUGCACAUCUUGACGGUACCUAAUCAGAAAGCCACGGCUAACUACGUG